AAAUUGCGUUAGGGGUUGAAGCGGCAUCCUUUUGUAGAGCGUUCUAGCGAACAAAAGAUACAGCGAAAAACCCGACCUGAA
Molecule: small RNA, 81 nt
Filed under: Chishuiella changwenlii
Lineage: Bacteria; Pseudomonadati; Bacteroidota; Flavobacteriia; Flavobacteriales; Weeksellaceae
Description: Flavo-1 RNA
Source: RNAcentral